This is a long non-coding RNA of Ictalurus punctatus (channel catfish), 817 nucleotides long. Lineage: Eukaryota; Metazoa; Chordata; Actinopteri; Siluriformes; Ictaluridae. The record is from Ensembl.
AGCAGCAGUUUGGACCAGAAAAUAUAAGCAGAAACUGGGAAAAUUAGCAUUUAGAAACAGAAGGCCAAGUCAAGUCAAGUGGCCUGAUUGGAAUGUGCAAAUUAAUACAGAGAUGAGCCACAAACAUUCUGGAACCAAAAUUAACCUUUACCAAAGUGAUGGAAAAGCCAAAGUGUGGAGAACGAAAGGAUCUACUCUAUGAUCAAAACAUACAAGCUCAUCUGUGAAACAUGGUGGAGAGAAAUGCAUCCAAUCUAAUUGGGAGGAACUUCAUCAUGAAUCAGCAAAGGACUUCAUCAGGCAAAAAGUAGAAGGUUUUAGACUGACCAAGUCAAUCACCAGAUCUUAAUCAAAUUGGGCAUCAAUCAUUUCUCCCUCUGAAGAGGAGACUGAAGGGAGAACAGCCCCCCGCCCCCCAAAAACAAAAACAAUAACGACAACAAAAGACAAACAAACAAACGACUGUGCUAAAAGCAUGGAAAAGCACCACAAAAGAAAAAUGCCACAGUUUGGUGAUGUCAGUGGUUCGCCAAUUUGAUGCAGUUAUUGCAAACAAAUGACAUGCAACCAAAUAUUAAGGCUUUAUCUUGAUCCUGUUCUUGGUCCCUGACUUAUUGAACUAGCAUGAGGAAAUGUUUGACUACAAAGCACUUCUAUGAGCUGCUUGGGAUAAGGGUGUCUGACUUCUUGGAGGAUAAACAUCAUACUUUUUGCUCCAUCCAAUGCUGUACAGUGACAUUUUGGUACACUUAUAGCCUGUACACAAGUGUAUGUGUUUAUAUUCUGUCCCAAGUUGCACCUGAUCUAUAUUCUGUGU